AGGAACCCUAGCCUCCACCCCCUUCCAUGCCAAGAUCUAGGAAAGAGAGUCAUAGAGUGGAAGACUCUUUGUUUUUUUAGAUCUAUGAUGCUUCUCCUUCGGAUUGGAUUUGCUCUAGCUAGGAACAUCCAGAUCAUAGGUUUGAAUCUGCGUACCUAGAUAAUGUUAUUCAAGUUGCAAAGGACAUCUAUGGAGAUUAUUCAGUUGUUGAACGGGAACCUUAUGAAUGUAAAGUGUGAGCUGCAAUAAGUAAGCAAAAUACACCUCUUUUACAUAGUGCUUUUAUUUUCUCCAUAUUAUUUUUUAUGUUUCUUCGA
Vitis vinifera (wine grape) is the source of this 317-nucleotide long non-coding RNA. RefSeq lists it as uncharacterized. NCBI's taxonomy places the organism in Eukaryota, Viridiplantae, Streptophyta, Magnoliopsida, Vitales, Vitaceae. The transcript is spliced from 2 exons. The record is from RefSeq and is a predicted model, not a curated record.